CACGUGGGGAACCUGCCCCAUAGUCUGGGAUACCACUUGGAAACAGGUGCUAAUACCGGAUAAGAAAGCGGAUCGCAUGAUCAGCUUUUAAAAGGCGGCGUAAGCUGUCGCUAUGGGAUGGCCCCGCGGUGCAUUAGCUAGUUGGUAAGGUAAAGGCUUACCAAGGCGAUGAUGCAUAGCCGAGUUGAGAGACUGAUCGGCCACAUUGGGACUGAGACACGGCCCAAACUCCUACGGGAGGCAGCAGGC
RNAcentral lists this ribosomal RNA (249 nucleotides) under uncultured Lactobacillus sp. RNAcentral describes it as "partial 16S ribosomal RNA". It matches the Rfam family "Bacterial small subunit ribosomal RNA", at positions 114 to 354 of the family's 1533-position model. Lineage: Bacteria; Bacillati; Bacillota; Bacilli; Lactobacillales; Lactobacillaceae. The record is from RNAcentral.